UGAAAUCUGAAAGGGAAAGGCAAGCAAACAAGUUGUCACAGCCACUCACUGGGCAGAAAGGGGCUGAGUCACAAUACGGAGGAAUGACACUCAGGCUCCAGGCAGCUUUGGGACCGGAAAUCAGCUCUGCCAAUGGGGCGUGGCCAAGUCACUGUGACCUUGGAAGGAGAUGUGGAAGGGGUAGAGCUUACAAGAGGAUGUCACUUCCUAUGGCUCAUGGAGAGGAGUUUCUUUAAAAGACAAGUCAGCAGACUGUCCUUGUGCAUAACUGUGGUGCCUUUCUGACAAGAGCCAUCCUGGGGGGGCAGAGGGGCAUCUCCAUUUUUGCUGCUCAUUUCUGCAGAGCACUGGAGAGCAGGUGUGGUCGCAGAAGGUUGACUGUCUUGCUGAGCUCCCCAAACCCAAUUACACGGUAUGCUUAUCUUCCAGAACAUCUGUCUAGCAGGGACUGGUUGGACAGGGGGCCCCAUAGCCACUCAAGAAUUUUUGUUUCUCAUUUUCCUGCCCCACUGAGGUCCCAGGGCUUAAUGGAAUGUGAAACUGUACGGUUUCCUCUGCACUAGCUAACUCAGAAGCAACAGUUUCUUAAGCAAUGGUUUCUUAAAAAGCUCGGAAGAUCAACUCAACAUUCCGUGGGAGCCUUUCCCCGGCAGAUAAAAUACCCUAGCUGAGUGGAAAGCAAGCAAACUGGUACUGGGGUUCAGGACCCACGCGAAGCCUCCGAGAGCACUAAUGGAGAAGAGUAUUGUGCUUCCACCCAGAGGCGGCACCAAACUCCAGCAGGGACACGGGAAUGUGAAGGGUAGGGCUGGCCCUUCGCAGCAUGGGAAGAAGGAGGAGAUGCUUUUGAAUGAAAGCCCUGAUGUUUAAUGUUCUCCUGUAUAAAGGCCAUGACCCUGGAAUGUCUCCAACCUAAUCUAACAGUUGACCUCAACCAAGUCCUUAAGGCUCCAUCCCUCAUUUGCUAUGUUUUCAAGCUUUUUAGAGAAUUAAUGUUGAAUUUAGUGUAAGAGGUUACAUCUGACAUGAGGCUUGGCCGACCAGAACACCCACCAGCUACCACUGGUUAAUGGCAACCUGCGUGGGCAUGUUCUGAACUCUUUUAGGCCAAUGUCGUGAACCUGGUUGGCCCUCUAUGAAUGUUUGCUGCUCCUGGUUCUGAUGCUUCAGGAUGUGGGAACUUGGGUCACAUGUGGGAAAGGAUCUGGACUGAUGUGUUCCCUAAGCUCAGGAGGCCAGGGGCUCCUGUGGCGGAUGCAGAAACUGAUGUCUCAUUGUUCUCUUUUGUGGAAUUUAUCUGGUCAAGGAAGAGACAUCAAGGAAGAGAAAGUCAUUCUGGCUCAUUCUCAAAGUCAGUCUCCAGGUCAUUUCCUAGCCUGGCCUUGAGCACAUCCCAGCUUCUGGUUGGGCCCUAAACCGAAUGACCCCCACAGGGGUGGGUGCUCUAGACAGGGAACCCUGGAAGGCUCAGACCCUGUGAAGUGGUCACAUCACCUCUGAGACUCACAGCUGUCAGCAACCUGGUGUCUGAUAAGCUUUCCUGGACAUCAGAUAACUGUGAAAUAACGUUUUGAUGAAUUAAGUAAAAAACGAAUCACAAACAUGUGGAAUACAUUUUCUUCACUGCACUCAAGAUUUAAAAUUUACAAGGAAAAGUAUUUGGCCACAUUUGCCAAACCUAAGAAGCAUUUGAAAGCAAGCCAGCAAAAGAUGUUUCAUGGAGACCAGCUGGGUUUGCUCAGCUUUGCUCAUAAAGAGGGUCCAUAAAGAAACCGCUUCAGCCUUUACUGUUCUAUCAGCCCCUACUGGAGACACUUCCUUGGGAACGGAGGACUAAAAGAAUUUGGUCAGCUCUUGCCUACCGGGUCCAAAGGCCAGGAAGAUGCCCCUCAUGUCCAUGAGUUCAUUGUCAUAGCCAUGCCACCCACGCUGCCAGCCUUCUCUCCUGCCAGUGCUGUUCAUCCAAAAUGGAAGUGACUCUCGAUUCUGAAACCAAGCAAAGCAGUUACAUUACCCUUUGUCCCAACCAUCAUGAUGAGUGAGCAUCUGGCCCAGACUCCCACCCAGUGUGGGGAUUUCCUUCUCAACAUUCUCCACUGGGGCCAUCCAGCCUCAGCUGGAUCACUUCCUUCUUCAGGUAGCUCAGACCAUUGGAGGCACACCGGUAAAUUGCCACAGAGCUCUAGUUAUAAAAGUAUUUCCUUACACGGAGCUGAACUGUACCUUGUGAUCAGUUUUAGAGCCACUAAAUAUAUCAUGUUAGAGACGGAAGGGAUGUUAAAGUGUAUCUGUGGUAUAGUAAAAGGUAUAUUUGGCUUUGGUCCCAUGUUCCUGACCCAGAGCUCCCAAAACCCUGGGUGUGUCCCGAGUGACAGGAAUUCAUAAUGAGCCCCUUUCUCCCAUAGCCGAGUACAUGGUAAUGGGAUGGCUCACUGCAGUGGGGGGCUGGGCAGCUUCAGGAGGUCACUGGAGGAACCAACCACGUGAUGGGGGGGUUAAAAAUUUCAGCCCGUCCCCUGUGCGCUAAGGCUGCAUUCAGGCUUGUGGCCAACGAUGGUCACUCGUGCCUGUGCCGAGAAACCUGUGUAAAAACCCCGGAGGGCUGUGGCCUAGGGGGCUUCUGGGUAAUUGAACAAAUUGAUGUGCUGGGAGGGCAGUGACCCCAAAGAGAGCAUGGAGGCCUUGUGCCUCACCCCCCCAAACUCGGCCCCAUGCCUCUCUUCCGAUUGGCUGUUCCUGAGUUGUAUCCUCUGUACUGAAACUAAUCAUAAACAGAGCACAUUUCUGAGCUCUGUGAUUCAUUCCACUCAAUUAUCAAACCUGAAAAGGGCUGUGAGAACCUGCCAAUCGCACAUAAGUAUGGGUGGCCCGGGGACCCAGGACCCCGGGGCGCGUGUGGGGUGCGAAGAGGGGGCGGCCCGGUGGGACUGAGCCCCCUGGUGCAGGGGCCGCUCCAACUCCAGACGGUCAGUGUCAGGACUGGGCUGAAUUGCAGGACACCCGACUGCUGUCAGAGAAUUGCUGGAAAAUACAGAGUCUAAUCUAAUCACCUCAUUUCUCUAGCAAACCUGACAAAACCCAGAGGCCUUUCCACCCCACACACCACCCCCAUCUUUCUGUUUUUCUAGCUCCACCCUUGGGAGCAACUUGGGAUAAAUUCAUCCCCUCCCCUCAAACACUUGAAGAUGACACUUCUGUUCCUCUUAGCCAGGGCUCUUACGUUUCCUCCAACAGUCUUCAUCUGGGAUGGGCUCCAGAGCCGUCACUUCUCUGUCACCCUUCUUCCCUUCAGAACUCAAGUUUUCUUGGACCACAGAUGCUUACUUCUGAGACCACGGCUUAAAGAAGGUUCCGUGGGGCCUGAGGAGGCUGCGGCCAGCGGGACAGAACCCUAGCCCUCCACUGCAGACUAAACAUUCUUUCCUGAUAUUCCAGUCACCUUCCGUGGAACAGGGUUCGAUACCACAGACAUUGCAAAUGCAGGAAGUAGACCGACUGGUCAUGAAGGACGCUUGGACCCAACAGUACCAGCAAUUUAUAGGUUGGUGCAUCAGACU
This is a long non-coding RNA of Acinonyx jubatus (cheetah), 3557 nucleotides long. RefSeq lists it as uncharacterized. NCBI's taxonomy places the organism in Eukaryota, Metazoa, Chordata, Mammalia, Carnivora, Felidae. The transcript has 3 exons. The record is from RefSeq and is a predicted model, not a curated record.